UGGGGAAUAUUGGGCAAUGGGCGCAAGCCUGACCCAGCAACGCCGCGUGAAGGAAGAAGGCUUUCGGGUUGUAAACUUCUUUUGUCAGGGACGAACAGAUGACGGUACCUGACGAAUAAGCCACGGCUAACUACGUGCCAGCAGCCGCGGUAAUACGUAGGUGGCAAGCGUUAUCCGGAUUUAUUGGGUGUAAAGGGCGUGUAGGCGGGACUGCAAGUCAGAUGUGAAAACCAGGGGCUCAACCUCUGGCCUGCAUUUGAAACUGUAGUUCUUGAGUGUCGGAGAGGCAAUCGGAAUUCCGUGUGUAGCGGUGAAAUGCGUAGAUAUACGGAGGAACACCAGUGGCGAAGGCGGAUUGCUGGACGAUAACUGACGCUGAGGCGCGAAAGCGUGGGGAGCAAACAGG
Molecule: ribosomal RNA, 406 nt
Filed under: uncultured bacterium
Lineage: Bacteria
Description: bacterial SSU rRNA
Rfam family: Bacterial small subunit ribosomal RNA
Source: RNAcentral